CCUACGGGUGGCAGCAGUGAGGAAUAUUGGUCAAUGGGCGGAAGCCUGAACCAGCCAUGCCGCGUGCAGGAAGACGGUCCUAUGGAUUGUAAACUGCUUUUAUUUGGGAAUAAACCUCUUUACGAGUAUUGAGCUGAAGGUACCAAAUGAAUAAGCACCGGCUAACUCCGUGCCAGCAGCCGCGGUAAUACGGAGGGUGCAAGCGUUAUCCGGAAUCAUUGGGUUUAAAGGGUCCGCAGGCGGUCUUAUAAGUCAGUGGUGAAAGCCUACAGCUUAACUGUAGAACUGCCAUUGAUACUGUAGGACUUGAAUGUGGUCGAAGUGGGCGGAAUGUGUAGUGUAGCGGUGAAAUGCUUAGAUAUUACACAGAACACCGAUAGCGAAGGCAGCUCACUAGGCCAUGAUUGACGCUCAUGGACGAAAGCGUGGGGAGCAAACAGGAUUAGAUACCCCUGUAGUC
This 460-nucleotide ribosomal RNA is filed under the name uncultured bacterium. RNAcentral describes it as "bacterial SSU rRNA". It matches the Rfam family "Bacterial small subunit ribosomal RNA", at positions 338 to 795 of the family's 1533-position model. The record is from RNAcentral.